Molecule: ribosomal RNA, 570 nt
Filed under: Hydrochus sp. AHG-2011
Lineage: Eukaryota; Metazoa; Arthropoda; Insecta; Coleoptera; Hydrochidae
Description: SSU rRNA
Rfam family: Eukaryotic small subunit ribosomal RNA
Source: RNAcentral
UGCAUGUCUCAGUACAAGCCAAAUUAAGGUGAAACCGCGAAAGGCUCAUUAAAUCAGUUAUGGUUCCUUAGAUCGUACCACAUUUACUUGGAUAACUGUGGUAAUUCUAGAGCUAAUACAUGCAAACAGAGCUCCGACCGGAGACGGAAGGAGCGCUUUUAUUAGAUCAAAACCAAUCGGUGGCGGGCUUGCUCGUCAUCGUACAUUUUGGUGACUCUGAAUAACUUUUUGCUGAUCGCACGGUCUCGCACCGGCGACGCAUCUUUCAAAUGUCUGCCUUAUCAACUGUCGAUGGUAGGUUCUGCGCCUACCAUGGUUGUAACGGGUAACGGGGAAUCAGGGUUCGAUUCCGGAGAGGGAGCCUGAGAAACGGCUACCACAUCCAAGGAAGGCAGCAGGCGCGCAAAUUACCCACUCCCGGCACGGGGAGGUAGUGACGAAAAAUAACGAUACGGGACUCAUCCGAGGCCCCGUAAUCGGAAUGAGUACACUCUAAACUCUUUAACGAGAACCCAUUGGAGGGCAAGUCUGGUGCCAGCAGCCGCGGUAAUUCCAGCUCCAAUAGCGUAU